GGAGGGGUGCUGGAUACUACGUGCUAAACUUUAGCAGUGUCACAUCGAAUAUUCGGAUACUAAUUAGAAGGAUUAAACAUGAGCUAAUUACAAAACUAAUUGCACAGGUGGAGUCUAAUUCGCGAGACGAAUCUAUUAAGCCUAAUUAAUCCAUCAUUAGCAAACAGUUACUGUAGCACCGCAUUGUUAAAUCAUAGACUAAUUAGGUUUAAUAGAUUCAUCUCGCGAAUUAGACUCCAUCUGUGCAAUUAAUUUUGUAAUUAAUCUAUGUUUAAUACUUCUAAUUAGCAUCCAAACAUCCGAUGUAACGGGUGUCGAGGAUCAGAGUACGCGACAAUGCAACGC
Molecule: long non-coding RNA, 345 nt
Filed under: Setaria viridis
Lineage: Eukaryota; Viridiplantae; Streptophyta; Magnoliopsida; Poales; Poaceae
Description: long non-coding RNA (SVIR_LNC005291)
Source: RNAcentral